RNAcentral lists this ribosomal RNA (429 nucleotides) under Verrucomicrobiota bacterium. RNAcentral describes it as "Verrucomicrobia bacterium partial 16S ribosomal RNA". It matches the Rfam family "Bacterial small subunit ribosomal RNA", at positions 355 to 776 of the family's 1533-position model. The record is from RNAcentral. Lineage: Bacteria; Pseudomonadati; Verrucomicrobiota.
UAGGGAAUCUUCGGCAAUGGGGGGAACCCUGACCGAGCAACGCCGCGUGAGUGAAGAAGGUUUUCGGAUCGUAAAGCUCUGUUGUUAAGGAAGAACGAGUGUGAGAAUGGAAAGUUCAUGCUGUGACGGUACUUAACCAGAAAGGGACGGCUAACUACGUGCCAGCAGCCGCGGUAAUACGUAGGUCCCGAGCGUUGUCCGGAUUUAUUGGGCGUAAAGCGAGCGCAGGCGGUUAGAAAAGUCUGAAGUGGAAGGCAGUGGCUCAACCAUUGUAGGCUUUGGAAACUGUUUAACUUGAGUGCAGAAGGGGAGGGUGGAAUUCCAUGUGUGGCGGUGAAAUGCGUAGGUAUAUGGAGGAACACCGGUGGCGAAAGCGGCUUUCUGGACUGCAACUGACACUGAGGCACGAAAGCGUGGGUAGCAAACAGG